Molecule: ribosomal RNA, 445 nt
Filed under: uncultured bacterium
Lineage: Bacteria
Description: partial 16S ribosomal RNA
Rfam family: Bacterial small subunit ribosomal RNA
Source: RNAcentral
GUGAGGAAUAUUGGUCAAUGGGCGAGAGCCUGAACCAGCCAUGCCGCGUGCAGGAAGAAUGCCCUAUGGGUUGUAAACUGCUUUUAUUUGGGAAUAAACCUUUCUACGUGUAGAAAGCUGAAGGUACUAAAUGAAUAAGCACCGGCUAACUCCGUGCCAGCAGCCGCGGUAAUACGGAGGGUGCAAGCGUUAUCCGGAAUCAUUGGGUUUAAAGGGUCCGCAGGCGGAUUAAUAAGUCAGUGGUGAAAUCUCAUAGCUUAACUAUGAAACUGCCAUUGAUACUGUUAGUCUUGAAUAUGGUCGAUGUGGGCGGAAUAUGACAUGUAGCGGUGAAAUGCUUAGAUAUGUUAUAGAACACCGAUAGCGAAGGCAGCUCACAAGGCCAUUAUUGACGCUCAUGGACGAAAGCGUGGGGAGCAAACAGGAUUAGAUACCCCGGUAGUCC